This 350-nucleotide ribosomal RNA is filed under the name uncultured bacterium. Its description in RNAcentral is "bacterial SSU rRNA". It matches the Rfam family "Bacterial small subunit ribosomal RNA", at positions 355 to 697 of the family's 1533-position model. The record is from RNAcentral.
UGGGGAAUAUUGGACAAUGGGCGCAAGCCUGAUCCAGCCAUACCGCGUGUGUGAAGAAGGCCUUCGGGUUGUAAAGCACUUUAAGUAAGGAGAAAAAGUUUGUAGUUAAUAGCUGCAAUCCUUGAUGUUACUUACAGAAUAAGGACCGGCUAAUUCCGUGCCAGCAGCCGCGGUAAUACGGAAGGUCCAAGCGUUAAUCGGAAUUACUGGGCGUAAAGCGCGCGUAGGUGGUUUGUUAAGUUGGAUGUGAAAGCCCUGGGCUCAACCUAGGAACUGCAUCCAAAACUAGAUGACUAGAGUACGAAAGAGGGAAGUAGAAUUCACAGUGUAGCGGUGGAAUGCGUAGAUAU